This is a non-coding RNA of Beta vulgaris subsp. vulgaris (sugar beet), 66 nucleotides long. The record is from Rfam. NCBI's taxonomy places the organism in Eukaryota, Viridiplantae, Streptophyta, Magnoliopsida, Caryophyllales, Amaranthaceae.
AAGAGCCGAAUGAGGGGAGACCUUCACGUCCGGUUCGGAGGGCGGGGAUAUAUAUCCCGACCCUAC